This 1372-nucleotide ribosomal RNA is filed under the name uncultured bacterium. Its description in RNAcentral is "bacterial SSU rRNA". It matches the Rfam family "Bacterial small subunit ribosomal RNA", at positions 28 to 1381 of the family's 1533-position model. The record is from RNAcentral.
GAUGAACGCUGGCGGCGUGCCUAAUACAUGCAAGUCGAGCGAACGGACGAGAAGCUUGCUUCUCUGAUGUUAGCGGCGGACGGGUGAGUAACACGUGGAUAACCUACCUAUAAGACUGGGAUAACUUCGGGAAACCGGAGCUAAUACCGGAUAAUAUUUUGAACCGCAUGGUUCAAAAGUGAAAGACGGUCUUGCUGUCACUUAUAGAUGGAUCCGCGCUGCAUUAGCUAGUUGGUAAGGUAACGGCUUACCAAGGCAACGAUGCAUAGCCGACCUGAGAGGGUGAUCGGCCACACUGGAACUGAGACACGGUCCAGACUCCUACGGGAGGCAGCAGUAGGGAAUCUUCCGCAAUGGGCGAAAGCCUGACGGAGCAACGCCGCGUGAGUGAUGAAGGUCUUCGGAUCGUAAAACUCUGUUAUUAGGGAAGAACAUAUGUGUAAGUAACUGUGCACAUCUUGACGGUACCUAAUCAGAAAGCCACGGCUAACUACGUGCCAGCAGCCGCGGUAAUACGUAGGUGGCAAGCGUUAUCCGGAAUUAUUGGGCGUAAAGCGCGCGUAUGCGGUUUUUUAAGUCUGAUGUGAAAGCCCACGGCUCAACCGUGGAGGGUCAUUGGAAACUGGAAAACUUGAGUGCAGAAGAGGAAAGUGGAAUUCCAUGUGUAGCGGUGAAAUGCGCAGAGAUAUGGAGGAACACCAGUGGCGAAGGCGACUUUCUGGUCUGUAACUGACGCUGAUGUGCGAAAGCGUGGGGAUCAAACAGGAUUAGAUACCCUGGUAGUCCACGCCGUAAACGAUGAGUGCUAAGUGUUAGGGGGUUUCCGCCCCUUAGUGCUGCAGCUAACGCAUUAAGCACUCCGCCUGGGGAGUACGACCGCAAGGUUGAAACUCAAAGGAAUUGACGGGGACCCGCACAAGCGGUGGAGCAUGUGGUUUAAUUCGAAGCAACGCGAAGAACCUUACCAAAUCUUGACAUCCUUUGACAACUCUAGAGAUAGAGCCUUCCUCUUCGGGGGACAAAGUGACAGGUGGUGCAUGGUUGUCGUCAGCUCGUGUCGUGAGAUGUUGGGUUAAGUCCCGCAACGAGCGCAACCCUUAAGCUUAGUUGCCAUCAUUAAGUUGGGCACUCUAAGUUGACUGCCGGUGACAAACCGGAGGAAGGUGGGGAUGACGUCAAAUCAUCAUGCCCCUUAUGAUUUGGGCCACACACGUGCUACAAUGGACAAUACAAAGGGCAGCGAAACCGCGAGGUCAAGCAAAUCCCAUAAAGUUGUUCUCAGUUUGGAUUGUAGUCUGCAACUCGACUACAUGAAGCUGGAAUCGCUAGUAAUCGUAGAUCAGCAUGCUACGGUGAAUACGUUCCCGGGUCU